Molecule: ribosomal RNA, 496 nt
Filed under: uncultured bacterium
Lineage: Bacteria
Description: partial 16S ribosomal RNA
Rfam family: Bacterial small subunit ribosomal RNA
Source: RNAcentral
GAUGAACGCUGGCGGCGUGCCUAAUACAUGCAAGUCGAGCGAACAGACGAGGAGCUUGCUCCUCUGACGUUAGCGGCGGACGGGUGAGUAACACGUGGAUAACCUACCUAUAAGACUGGGAUAACUUCGGGAAACCGGAGCUAAUACCGGAUAACAUGUUGAACCGCAUGGUUCAACAGUGAAAGACGGUUUUGCUGUCACUUAUAGAUGGAUCCGCGUCGCAUUAGCUAGUUGGUAAGGUAACGGCUUACCAAGGCAACGAUGCGUAGCCGACCUGAGAGGGUGAUCGGCCACACUGGAACUGAGACACGGUCCAGACUCCUACGGGAGGCAGCAGUAGGGAAUCUUCCGCAGUGGGCGAAAGCCUGACGGAGCAACGCCGCGUGAGUGAAGAAGGUCUUCGGAUCGUAAAACUCUGUUAUUAGGGAAGAACAAAUGUGUAAGUAACUAUGCACGUCUUGACGGUACCUAAUCAGAAAGCCACGGCUAACUACGU